Molecule: ribosomal RNA, 450 nt
Filed under: uncultured bacterium
Lineage: Bacteria
Description: bacterial SSU rRNA
Rfam family: Bacterial small subunit ribosomal RNA
Source: RNAcentral
UCCAGACUCCUACGGGAGGCAGCAGUGGGGAAUAUUGCACAAUGGGGGGAACCCUGAUGCAGCGACGCCGCGUGGGUGAAGGAGCACCUCGGUGCGUAAAGCCCUAUCGGCAGGGAAGAAACAGACGGUACCUGACUAAGAAGCCCCGGCUAACUACGUGCCAGCAGCCGCGGUAAUACGUAGGGGGCAAGCGUUAUCCGGAUUUACUGGGUGUAAAGAGUUGCGUAGGUGGCAUAAUAAGUAGCUAGUGAAAUCUGGUGGCUCAACCAUUCAGACUAUUAGCUAAACUGUUAAGCUCGAGACCGUUAGGGGUAACUGGAAUUUCUAGUGUAGGAGUGAAAUCCGUAGAUAUUAGAAGGAACACCAAUAGCGUAGGCAGGUUACUGGGACGGUUCUGACACUAAGGCACGAAAGCGUAGGGAGCAAACGGGAUUAGAUACCCCCGUAGAU